AUUGAACGCUGGCGGCAUGCUUUACACAUGCAAGUCGGACGGCAGCACAGAGAAGCUUGCUUCUUGGGUGGCGAGUGGCGACCGGGUGAGUAACAUAUCGGAACGUACCGAGCAGUGGGGGAUAACUAAUCGAAAGAUUAGCUAAUACCGCAUAUUUUCUGAGGAAGAAAGCAGGGGACCUUUGGGCCUUGCGCUGUUUGAGCGGCCGAUAUCUGAUUAGCUAGUUGGUGGGGUAAAGGCCUACCAAGGCGACGAUCAGUAGCGGGUCUGAGAGGAUGAUCCGCCACACUGGGACUGAGACACGGCCCAGACUCCUACGGGAGGCAGCAGUGGGGAAUUUUGGACAAUGGGCGCAAGCCUGAUCCAGCCAUGCCGCGUGUCUGAAGAAGGCCUUCGGGUUGUAAAGGACUUUUGUCAGGGAAGAAAAGGGCGGGGUUAAUACCCCUGUCUGAUGACGGUACCUGAAGAAUAAGCACCGGCUAACUACGUG
RNAcentral lists this ribosomal RNA (490 nucleotides) under uncultured bacterium. RNAcentral's name for it is "partial 16S ribosomal RNA". It matches the Rfam family "Bacterial small subunit ribosomal RNA", at positions 30 to 507 of the family's 1533-position model. The record is from RNAcentral.